RNAcentral lists this long non-coding RNA (371 nucleotides) under Capsicum annuum. Its description in RNAcentral is "long non-coding RNA (CANN_LNC022293)". The record is from RNAcentral. Lineage: Eukaryota; Viridiplantae; Streptophyta; Magnoliopsida; Solanales; Solanaceae.
AUUAUAUAGCAAAAUAUCUAGUAAAAAAUGAAGAAAUAAAAACUGACAAUGAUAUAUGCCCAGAUCUACCAAGAAGUUUAAUAAAUAAUAAAAAUAUAGCAGAAAAAGAAAUAAUAUUAGGAGUUAGAAAAAUAAAAAUAGAAUUCGAAGUAAAGGAAGAAAUGCAAAAAGCAGAUAUAAUAUUAGGAAUAAAAUGGUUAGAACAAGUAAAACCAUAUAAUAUAGAACAUACACAAUUAACCUUAACAUAUAACAAAGAAAAGUUAUUCUUAAAAAGAGCCUUAACAUGAAAUGAAGAUAUAUGUAUUAAUGAAGAUAGUAGUAGAAGGAUAUUACAGUAGAUAUUAUACGCCUAUGAUAGAUACAGGAGC